GUGGGGAAUAUUGGACAAUGGGCGAAAGCCUGAUCCAGCCAUGCCGCGUGUGUGAAGAAGGUCUUCGGAUUGUAAAGCACUUUAAGUUGGGAGGAAGGGCAGUAAGUUAAUACCUUGCUGUUUUGACGUUACCAACAGAAUAAGCACCGGCUAACUUCGUGCCAGCAGCCGCGGUAAUACGAAGGGUGCAAGCGUUAAUCGGAAUUACUGGGCGUAAAGCGCGCGUAGGUGGUUCAGCAAGUUGGAGGUGAAAUCCCCGGGCUCAACCUGGGAACUGCCUCCAAAACUGCAUGACUAGAGUACGGUAGAGGGUAGUGGAAUUUCCUGUGUAGCGGUGAAAUGCGUAGAUAUAGGAAGGAACACCAGUGGCGAAGGCGACUACCUGGACUGAUACUGACACUGAGGUGCGAAAGCGUGGGGAGCAAACAGGAUUAGAUACCCCGGUAGUCC
This 450-nucleotide ribosomal RNA is filed under the name uncultured bacterium. Its description in RNAcentral is "partial 16S ribosomal RNA". It matches the Rfam family "Bacterial small subunit ribosomal RNA", at positions 354 to 796 of the family's 1533-position model. The record is from RNAcentral.